GAUGAACGCUGGCGGCGUGCCUAAUACAUGCAAGUCGAGCGAACGGACGAGAAGCUUACUUCUCUGAUGUUAGCGGCGGACGGGUGAGUAACACGUGGAUAACCUACCUAUAAGACUGGGAUAACUUCGGGAAACCGGAGCUAAUACCGGAUGAUAUUUUGAACCGCAUGGUUCAAAAGUGAAAGACGGUCUUGCUGUCACUUAUCGAUGGAUCCGCGCUGCAUUAGCUAGUUGGUAAGGUAACGGCUUACCAAGGCAACGAUGCAUAGCCGACCUGAGAGGGUGAUCGGCCACACUGGAACUGAGACACGGUCCAGACUCCUACGGGAGGCAGCAGUAGGGAAUCUUCCGCAAUGGGCGAAAGCCUGACGGAGCAACGCCGCGUGAGUGACGAAGGUCUUCGGAUCGUAAAACUCUGUUAUUAGGGAAGAACAUAUGUGUAAGUAACUGUGCACAUCUUGACGGUACCUAAUCAGAAAGCCACGGCUAACUACGUG
RNAcentral lists this ribosomal RNA (497 nucleotides) under uncultured bacterium. RNAcentral's name for it is "partial 16S ribosomal RNA". It matches the Rfam family "Bacterial small subunit ribosomal RNA", at positions 28 to 507 of the family's 1533-position model. The record is from RNAcentral.